This 1166-nucleotide long non-coding RNA is filed under the name Citrus x clementina. Its description in RNAcentral is "Citrus clementina (C. clementina) long non-coding RNA (CCLE_LNC000943)". The record is from RNAcentral. Lineage: Eukaryota; Viridiplantae; Streptophyta; Magnoliopsida; Sapindales; Rutaceae.
CAAUUACUGCAAUCUCAAAAUAGCCGUUUAUUGAGCUGAAACAUACAAUUAUUUUUUGGUUUGAUUUUUCUCUUAAAAAUCCUUGUUUACGUGUCAACAAGCAACACGUACCUAUCCGUCUUUCUUACCAAUCCACCAGUAUCUUUGAAUCUGAAAUUGCGUGGUUAAAAUAUACCCGAGGAGUAUCUAAUUGUGUGGUUCAAAUUUUGUUUUAAAAAAAAAUCUCAAAUUGUGACACGUUAAUUAUUGAUAUUUCAUUUACAUGUCAGCAGACAACAUGUACCUAUCUGUCUUUCUCACCAAUCCAUCAAUGUCUUAAAAUCUCAAAUUGAGUGGUUCAAAAAUACAUCAAGAUUAUCAAAUUGUGGUUCAAAAUUUUACUUAAAAAAAAUCUCAAUUUGUGACGUUUUUGGUUUAAAAUAACAGUGAAAACAAUUUUGACUUGUGGGUCCGGCUACGGUGCUUGUGACACCAUACCCCAUUUUUUGUCUUUUGUUGUUGGUAAAUUGUAGUUAGCUCCUUACUCUUUCUUUUAUUUACAUUUUCACUUCAAUAUAAUAAAAAAUUAGAGUUAGCUCAUUACUCUAAUUCCUAAAAUUACUCUUCAAAAUUCAAAUACAUUUUCAUCAAAAACUUUUUAUUCCUUAACUAUCCUCAUAUAAUGAAUACAUUUAUGGGUUCAAAUAGUCUUAUCCUUCAAUUUUAGUUUUCACACAUUAAAGCUAUUUCAUCAUGUACAAAAUACAAUAAAACUUCUAUAUAGUCAUAUUGUUGGCACUAGAGAAAUUUAUUUUUAUAAAGAAGUUAUAACUCAAUGGAGGUAUAGUACAAAAAUUAUUAUCUUUGUUUAAUUAUCCCUAAUGUAAGUGAUAUACAUGUAAAUUAUGUCAUGUAUUAAUAAUCAAAUGGAUAUUAAUGUCUUCAUCAAUCAUCCAAAUGAACGACAAGUCAGGUCUGCUUUAACUGAAGAAAAAAUUAUUGAUGCAAUUAGACAAGAAGAGAAAGGGGAUAAUCCUGAGAAUGACAGUACAGAAAUAUAAAAAUUUUCAUGUUAGGAAGCUACAAACAUACUUGAGAAGAUAGAAAUGUUUUGGUUUCAACAAGAAGAUGCAUAUACUGACCAAUUAAUACAUAUCCGCAAGUUGAAAGAUGUGGUUGUAACUUUA